GCCAGGCACGAGGAUAAGCACAGAGGCUGCAAAGCUGGCCGGUCAUGACCUUGCCCGCAGGGACCCAUCCCCUCAACCCACCCCCCACCCAGCCUGGACCUCUGACUGAGUGAAGUUCCUCUGGUAGAUGCAGAGUUGGUUCCAUGCACCACAAAUGCUCUUGGACGGGUCACAGGACCAGUGCCAGUCUCAGCUCUGCAGACAACACCUGAGCCCCUUACAUGGAGGGGGUCAUUUCUGCCCUUGCGACUGAGUCUCUUUCGAUGGCCAGUGAGAACACAGGACGUGCUUUGCCAGAGAAGAGAAAUCAACAUUCCCCCGAUGAAUCACCAGCUACUACUAAGAAACAUCGAAAGACUGGGCCUCAAACGAAGGUCAUUAAUUCACAGUCCUGAAGGUAGUGAACCUUGUGGAAGGUUUACAACAUCCACAAGAGAGUCCCAAACCGUUUUGAGCAAGGAACACAUCCUUAGCCCAGGAUUCAAAUUUUCUGGGAUUUUCUCAACAAGUUUGAAGAUUCAGGCAAAAUCUGUCAUGAGAUAUACAAAUUUAGCCUUUGGCAAAAUCUAUCAUGCUAUUAAUUCAAUUAACUGUAACUAGUAUUUGUAUUACCCAUUGAAUUACUGAUUUUUUGGAUGACUGUUUUGAUUGUUCAGACAAAAGUGAAAAAAAAUACUCUUUGGCUUUUAUAUACUCAGGGGAAGUAAAGCGCCAAGAAAAGUCAUCAGACAGUUCAUGUCAAAAUAGGAUUUUAACCUGAAUUGUUUGCUUUCCCAUGGCUUACAACAGUGGAAACUGCAGCAAAUACCCACUUGAAUUAAUCUGUGGAACUUUGCUCUCAUCAAUGUGUAAUGUGGCAAAUAGAGUGUUUCCUUUCGUGAUAUACUCAGUCUUUCCUCUUCUCUGUAUUCAGUGAAAUCUCAGCAAGGGAAAAAUAAUCAUUCUUAAGGAUCAUUUGGAAAUGGAUUUUAACCUAAGAGCAAGAGAACCAGAAAUAUAUAGUGUAAACAUUUCUAAACACAAAAUCAGGUGUUUAUCCUAAGUGGUUUCUAGAAAGCCUACAUACAAAUGUAUGAGUAUUUAAUGCCUUAAAAAAGACUCAGUUACAUGCACUUAAAUACUGUUAUUUUUAAUAAAUUCAAUUUUAUUUCUGCUAUAAAUUCUUGGCUAAACUAAGGGGAAUUUUGCAGAGGACAUUAUGUUCCUACUACAUGGACUACAUUAUAUUUUGAACUUUUUCAAAGAAUAGAAGACUCUAAGUAACUUGAAAGGCUAUCUUGAUUUUUCCAAAUUUAUGCUCCAGGUACUUUGGCAUGAUUCAGAACUGAUGUCAAAUCCAGGC
Balaenoptera acutorostrata (minke whale) is the source of this 1342-nucleotide long non-coding RNA. RefSeq lists it as uncharacterized. The transcript is spliced from 4 exons. The record is from RefSeq and is a predicted model, not a curated record. Lineage: Eukaryota; Metazoa; Chordata; Mammalia; Artiodactyla; Balaenopteridae.